Molecule: ribosomal RNA, 440 nt
Filed under: uncultured bacterium
Lineage: Bacteria
Description: partial 16S ribosomal RNA
Rfam family: Bacterial small subunit ribosomal RNA
Source: RNAcentral
CCUACGGGAGGCAGCAGUAGGGAAUAUUGCUCAAUGGGGGAAACCCUGAAGCAGCAACGCCGCGUGGAGGAUGAAGGUUUUAGGAUUGUAAACUCCUUUUGUUAGAGAAGAUAAUGACGGUAUCUAACGAAUAAGCACCGGCUAACUCCGUGCCAGCAGCCGCGGUAAUACGGGGGGUGCAAGCGUUAUCCGGAAUCACUGGGCGUAAAGGGUGCGUAGGCGGGUUUGUAAGUCAGGUGUGAAAUCCUGUAGCUUAACUUCAGAACUGCAUUUGAAACUGUGGGUCUGGAGUGUGGGAGAGGUACGUGGAAUUCUUGGUGUAGGGGUAAAAUCCGUAGAGAUCAAGAGGAAUACUCAUUGCGAAGGCGACCUACUGGAACAUUACUGACGCUGAUGCACGAAAGCGUGGGGAGCAAACAGGAUUAGAUACCCGAGUAGUC